Molecule: ribosomal RNA, 253 nt
Filed under: uncultured bacterium
Lineage: Bacteria
Description: partial 16S ribosomal RNA
Rfam family: Bacterial small subunit ribosomal RNA
Source: RNAcentral
UACAGAGGUCCCAAGCGUUGUUCGGAUUCACUGGGCGUAAAGGGUGCGUAGGCGGUCGGGUAAGUCUGAUGUGAAAUCUCACAGCUUAACUGUGAAACUGCAUUGGAUACUAUCCGGCUAGAGGAAUGGAGGGGAGACUGGAAUACUUGGUGUAGCAGUGAAAUGCGUAGAUAUCAAGUGGAACACCAGUGGCGAAGGCGAGUCUCUAGACAUUUCCUGACGCUGAGGCACGAAAGCCAGGGGAGCAAACGGG